CCAUUUUAGUUAUAUUGACUUAUUUGUAUAACUUACUUUGCUGAACAUUACUGCUGUUUACAGUUUAUCUCUAUCUAUAAUGAUAUUCAAGAUAAUAACCAAAAACAGCAAAAUUUCCUUAAAAUUACCAAUUCAGGGGCAGCGGGUUGUCCGAUUCAUCUGAAAAUUUCCGGGCAGAUAGAUCUUGACCUGAUAAUCAAUUUUAACCCUGUCAGAUUUGCUCUAAAUGCUUUGGUUUUUGAGUUAUAAGCCAAAAACUGCACUUUACCCGUGUUCUAUUUUUAGCCAUGGCGGCCAUCUUGGUUUGAUGGCCAGGUCAUCGGACACAUUUUUUAAACUAGAUACCCAAGGAUGAUUGUGGCCAAGUUUGGUUUCAGGUCAGGAGCUAAAAGGUUUAUGCAUGGACAUUUUAGAAUUAUACAAUUUAGCAUGUGU
Molecule: long non-coding RNA, 435 nt
Filed under: Mytilus galloprovincialis (Mediterranean mussel)
Lineage: Eukaryota; Metazoa; Mollusca; Bivalvia; Mytilida; Mytilidae
Source: RNAcentral